RNAcentral lists this long non-coding RNA (282 nucleotides) under Nicotiana benthamiana. RNAcentral's name for it is "long non-coding RNA (NBEN_LNC001605)". Lineage: Eukaryota; Viridiplantae; Streptophyta; Magnoliopsida; Solanales; Solanaceae. The record is from RNAcentral.
UACUAUACUAAUAACCACUAUACAAAAUAUUGCCUAAAAAAAACCCGCCAGGUCCGCCUAGUUCGCCAGGCCCGGCCUGCCAGGACCACUGUGGGCUUAGGCCCGUCAUGGGCUGGUCUGCCAGGACCGACAUGCCCGAAAUCGCCAGGCCCGCUAAGAUCGGCCCACCAGGUCCGGCAAAGAUACACCCCUAAUUUCAAGUAGUGGUGAAAAAGAGUUUGUGAAUGAAAGGAAUUGGGGGAUCCAGCUUCUUUUGCAGUCUUGAUUUAUUUUUAAUUGUCA